RNAcentral lists this ribosomal RNA (468 nucleotides) under uncultured bacterium. Its description in RNAcentral is "partial 16S ribosomal RNA". It matches the Rfam family "Bacterial small subunit ribosomal RNA", at positions 28 to 507 of the family's 1533-position model. The record is from RNAcentral.
GACGAACGCUGGCGGCGUGCUUAACACAUGCAAGUCGAACGGAAAGGCCCUGCUUUUGUGGGGUGCUCGAGUGGCGAACGGGUGAGUAACACGUGAGUAACCUGCCCUUGACUUUGGGAUAAUUUCAGGAAACUGGGGCUAAUACCGGAUAGGAGCUCCUGCUGCAUGGUGGGGGUUGGAAAGUUUCGGCGGUUGGGGAUGGACUCGCGGCUUAUCAGCUUGUUGGUGGGGUAGUGGCUUACCAAGGCUUUGACGGGUAGCCGGCCUGAGAGGGUGACCGGCCACGUUGGGACUGAGAUACGGCCCAGACUCCUACGGGAGGCAGCAGUGGGGAAUAUUGCACAAUGGGCGGAAGCCUGAUGCAGCAACGCCGCGUGCGGGAUGACGGCCUUCGGGUUGUAAACCGCUUUCGCCUGUGACGAAGCGUGAGUGACGGUAAUGGGUAAAGAAGCACCGGCUAACUACGUG